ACAAGCGGUGGAUGAUGUGGAUUAAUUCGAUGCAACGCGAAAACCUUACCUACCUUGACAUGUCUGGAACCUUGCUGAGAGGCGAGGGUGCCUUCGGGAGCCAGAACACAGGUGCUGCAUGGCUGUCGUCAGCUCGUGUCGUGAGAUGUUGGGUUAAGUCCCGCAACGAGCGCAACCCUUGUCAUUAGUUGCCAUCAUUUAGUUGGGCACUCUAAUGAGACUGCCGGUGACAAACCGGAGGAAGGUGGGGAUGACGUCAAGUCCUCAUGGCCCUUAUGGGUAGGGCUUCACACGUCAUACAAUGGUCGGUACAGAGGGUUGCCAAGCCGCGAGGUGGAGCCAAUCCCUUAAAGCCGAUCGUAGUCCGGAUCGUAGUCUGCAACUCGACUACGUGAAGUCGGAAUCGCUAGUAAUCGUAGAUCAGCAUGCUACGGUGAAUACGCUCCCGGGCCUU
This 454-nucleotide ribosomal RNA is filed under the name uncultured Thauera sp. RNAcentral describes it as "bacterial SSU rRNA". It matches the Rfam family "Bacterial small subunit ribosomal RNA", at positions 925 to 1382 of the family's 1533-position model. Lineage: Bacteria; Pseudomonadati; Pseudomonadota; Betaproteobacteria; Rhodocyclales; Zoogloeaceae. The record is from RNAcentral.